GAUGAAGAACGUAGCGAAAUGCGAUAAGUAAUGUGAAUUGCAGAAUUCAGUGAAUCAUCGAGUCUUUGAACGCACAUUGCGCCCCCUGGUAUUCCGGGGGGCAUGCCUGUCCGAGCGUCAUUGCCGCCCUCAAGCACGGCUUGUGUGUUGGGCCCCCGCCCCCCGGCUUCGGGGGGCGGGCCCGAAAGGCAGCGGCGGCACCGCGUCCGGUCCUCGAGCGUAUGGGGCUUCGUCACCCGCUCUGUAGGCCCGGCCGGCGCCCGCCGGCGACCCCAAUCAAUCUUUCCAGGUUGACCUCGGAUCAGGUAGGGAUACCCGCUGAACUUAAGCAUAUAAUAAGCGGAGGA
RNAcentral lists this unclassified non-coding RNA (347 nucleotides) under soil metagenome. Its description in RNAcentral is "partial contains 5.8S ribosomal RNA, internal transcribed spacer 2, and large subunit ribosomal RNA". The stretch from base 1 to 120 matches the Rfam family "5.8S ribosomal RNA", at positions 35 to 154 of the family's 154-position model. The record is from RNAcentral.